CGGUGGAGCAUGUGGUUAAUUCGAAGCAACGCGAAGAACCUUACCAGGCCUUGACAUGCAGAGAACUUUCCAGAGAUGGAUUGGUGCCUUCGGGAACGUCUGACACAGGUGCUGCAUGGCUGUCGUCAGCUCGUGUCGUGAGAUGUUGGGUUAAGUCCCGUAACGAGCGCAACCCUUGUCCUUAGUUACCAGCACGUUAUGGUGGGCACUCUAAGGAGACUGCCGGUGACAAACCGGAGGAAGUGGGGGAUGACGUCAAGUCAUCAUGGCCCUUACGGCCUGGGCUACACACGUGCUACAAUGGUCGGUACAAAGGGUUGCCAAGCCGCGAGGUGGAGCUAAUCCCAUAAAACCGAUCGUAGUCCGGAUCGCAGUCUGCAACUCGACUGCGUGAAGUCGGAAUCGCUAGUAAUCGUGAAUCAGAAUGUCACGGUGAAUACGUUCCCGGGCCUU
Molecule: ribosomal RNA, 453 nt
Filed under: uncultured Pseudomonas sp.
Lineage: Bacteria; Pseudomonadati; Pseudomonadota; Gammaproteobacteria; Pseudomonadales; Pseudomonadaceae
Description: bacterial SSU rRNA
Rfam family: Bacterial small subunit ribosomal RNA
Source: RNAcentral